This 497-nucleotide ribosomal RNA is filed under the name uncultured bacterium. RNAcentral's name for it is "partial 16S ribosomal RNA". It matches the Rfam family "Bacterial small subunit ribosomal RNA", at positions 28 to 507 of the family's 1533-position model. The record is from RNAcentral.
GAUGAACGCUGGCGGCGUGCCUAAUACAUGCAAGUAGAACGCUGAAGCUUGGUGCUUGCACCGAGCGGAUGAGUUGCAAACGGGUGAGUAACGCGUAGGUAACCUGCCUCUUAGCGGGGGAUAACUAUUGGAAACGAUAGCUAAUACCGCAUAAAAGUUGACAUUGCAUGAUGUUGAUUUGAAAGAUGCAAUUGCAUCACUAAGAGAUGGACCUGCGUUGUAUUAGCUAGUUGGUGAAGUAACGGCUCACCAAGGCGACGAUACAUAGCCGACCUGAGAGGGUGAUCGGCCACACUGGGACUGAGACACGGCCCAGACUCCUACGGGAGGCAGCAGUAGGGAAUCUUCGGCAAUGGACGGAAGUCUGACCGAGCAACGCCGCGGGAGUGAAGAAGGUUUUCGGAUCGUAAAGCUCUGUUGUAAGAGAAGAACGAGUGUGAGAGUGGAAAGUUCACACUGUGACGGUAACUUACCAGAAAGGGACGGCUAACUACGUG